Molecule: long non-coding RNA, 15679 nt
Filed under: Lathyrus oleraceus (garden pea)
Lineage: Eukaryota; Viridiplantae; Streptophyta; Magnoliopsida; Fabales; Fabaceae
Description: Pisum sativum (pea) long non-coding RNA (PSAT_LNC035091)
Source: RNAcentral
CACAUUAAAAUUACAUUUUUCAUUUUUCAAACUAACGUUACAGCAUACAAAUGUUUAAGCACAUUUUCAAAUCGUGAUGCAAGUACAUGUUUAAGCACGGCCAAAUGGCUUGAUAACACAACCUAAGUCGCUACAUGUUACAAAAUAAAGCAGCAGGGUACGAAAAGUCUGAACAUAGCCAGUGGUCGUCAAUGCGAGAGAUAUGAAGCGUCGUAAACAAACUCUCAACCUCUGAUAACCGAUAAACAGUGCAGGAGGAGCUUACUAUAGAACCAUUUUUGUUUACACCAGAACCAUAUGCAGAAGAGCAGGCACACCACAAAUGAGCCGAGGAACACGCAUGGCAUAAGACCUCUGAUAACCGAUAAACAGUGCAGGAGGAGCUUACUAUAGAACCAUUUUUGUUUACACCAGAACCAUAUGCAGAAGAGCAGGCACACCACAAAUGAGCCGAGGAACACGCAUGGCAUAAGUCUCACAAUACCUGAAUAAUUCCACACCAGUUUCUCAGGCCAUUCCUUGCAUUAGUUUCCACAAGACAGUAUAAGCUUCUCUCCCGUAUCAUGCGGUGACCUAUAGAUCCAAGAGCUAGCAGUACCACACCGACAAUGCGAAUGUGAAUACAGGUGCGCAAGGAUAAAAGUGCAAAGAAGCAUAUGGAAAGCUACAAGUUUUAAAAGGACCUGUAACAAAGUGGCCCUGGUCAAAUCAUAACUCACAGCAGUUCCAAGUACGAACAGGAAACGUACAUUGCUAAAACUAUGUUACUUGUGGUAUGUACAACCUUACCGAUUAUUCUGAAAGGGUAAAUCACAACCAACUUAUAACCUGCAAGUGUGUCUUUAACUUGAGCCAACUACCCUGUUAACCAACAUUGUCGUUGAUGCAUCAUCACUCCUCCAAAACUCUAAAUUGGCAGCCACGAAUUACCGACCACAUUGCAGGAUAGAAAUCCACUACAGGGCCAUUUUGUUAGCAUCAAGAACCAUGCAUACUAACGAUGCAACACCUGUAGAACCUACAACAACAAAAUGCCAAGCCAAAAUCGACGUCCCUAACAAUCCAAGAUUAGAAUCAAUACCAGCAAAUGCCGGCAGCAGUCAUAGAGAAGCUCAAACCAGAACCAUGAAAAGCGUUAGAAUACAGGGAGACCAAACAUCACGAUACUUCAAACCAAAUGCAAACAUAACUUAUUGCAGAAUAUACGCAGGCAUGGACUUGGAAAGCCGAACAUAUACAUGACCUUUAGAAUCACCAGUUGCAGAGGACCUACCAAAUUGUAGCACGACACGUGAAACUUAGAUUCUAUGCAGGACAAAAAUAUAAGCCAUUUCAGGAUGCUGCCGUGAUUCGCGUUAUCUUAAUCAACUGUGAACCUGCAGAGCAACAAUUGACAACAUUAAAGAACUAUGGCAGAUGCCAAACCAGCAAAAGCAACUCUGUUACCACAAGGAACAUCUUCAACAGUCCGGCCUGCAUUAUUGUCUAAGUCAAAAGUCCACAAGCUAAACAAACAUGCCCUAUAGUUUGUUUUGAGGAAUCAGACCCUGCAAAAUGAUCAAAGUUAGAAAUCAAAGCAGUCAUAAAAUCCAAUGGCUAGAAGAAAUUGUAAAGCACAAUGUAGUUUGGAAACUAAAACAAGACAGAAGUUUAAGCCAUUGCAGGAGGCAACAUCAAGAUAAGUAAAAGAAUAAGUUACUACGCUUACCGUCAUGUGAACCGGCGACAGGACAAUACAUAUCACCUCAUUGAAACGAAAGCCAAGACUCGGAACUCCUGUAUCAAAGUUUCAUGUACCUGCACCUGUAUUCACAAGAUUUCAAAGUACAUCAGUGGAAAGCAAUCAUGAUCAAGUCCAUUAGACAAAGCAAAGCUAGUGAGGUCGAAUCAAAUUCAUAGCAGUUAAAAUAGCUGUGGAGUCAAAUAUCAUCAUCAUAUCAGAUAAAUGACCUGCAGAAACACUAAAUAUGCAAGGUUUGAAUUCGCAUCUAAAAGAGUUCAGGCUUAAAAUAGGUACACACAUGUUACAACAUCAUGAUACAUAACUAGACCCUUGUCCACAACCAUUCAUGCCGCCAUAUUUCAGGUUAUCUCGAUAACCAUGAACCUGCACCAACUACAACACAACAAGUUAUUACAUUCACACCUGCAUAAAACCAAUACCAAUCACACCAAAAAGGAUAACAAUAGAAAGAACAAGUUGCAGUGCAAAGGUUCGUCUUAGAUACCACCAUGGAAGUUCUUAUGUGCAACAACUGCAAUGUAAUUCAUGAAAGUUCACCAGCCGAGUGUCCCAAGCUAGAAGGCUUAAGCUGCCUUUGAUAAACAACCACACACAUUAGAACCAUAUCACAUGCAUACAAAAAUAAAUUUUCAAUGUGAUGUCAUACCAGAUUAAAGGGACCACUUGAGUUUUAAAUGGAUCAAAACGCAUCGCUACAGACAAAAAAACACUCACUCACAACAGACAGAAAGAAUUUCUUGCUUAACAAAAUCUGGAGCAAAUAAUUGGUCCCCACAAAUUGAAUAGAAGAUCUUUACCUAACAGCUAAUGGAUAAUAAUAUUUGGAAGAGGGACCACUUACCUUCGCCUAUAAAAAGAGGCGUUCAAUCAUUGAAAAAAGGGAGAAAUUUGGCACCGUCACUCUGCAGAAAUAUAUCCAGAAACCUUCAUUAAAACUAAAAAAACGAGCUUGUUCAAGGUUCUCAAUCGAAAUCUUGAAGAAACUUGAGCUCAGGAUACGAUCUCAUUGCCCACUCAAGAAACUAAAGGAUACAAAGAGUAACAGUAGGAGGAAAAAUAAGAUAACUCACCUCACCACAGAGUCGCUCACGGGGAUAGGACCUUUGCCGGAAUCCAGAAGAUCCGCUGAACUCGGAGCUAUUUUUUUUUCAGAACUUCAGUUUGGGUAAGCGAUUCAGUCUUAUCUCCUUCUAUGAGCUCCCUUUUUGUAGAUCUGGAUUCAUUACUCCUCAUUGUUGUGUUGAACCGAAUCCAUGUUGUUUUAUAGCUCCUAUAUUCUAUGACCUUUUAUUUAAGUUUAUGGUGCGUGUGUUUCUCUUUUGAUUGAGCUUGGUUUUCGAAUUUAUUUCCUUCUCAUUUUUUGUAUGCCUCUUUCUCACGAGGAAGAAGAAGAGAUAAAAAAUAUGAUAUAACAAAGAAAGGAAGUAGUUUAUUUCAUUGGGAGAGGGAGAGGCGAAGGCGAACAUAAGUGCCUUUAUCACGUUCUAGAUCCUUGCUUCAUUCCUUGUUAAGAGUAAGUUCGUUGGCCAUUAAUGAUAAUACUUUUUCUCACUGCCCAAGGCCAGUCACCGCUUUGGUUUUCCCCCUAGUUAUUACUUACCGUUGGAGUUUGGGAGCCAUUGUCUCCUUCACAUUUACUGGUAAAAUGAGAAGGGUUUUAUUGGACUCGGUUCGGGUUCGGAUUACCCGAGGUAGGCGGAGCCCUUUUGGGCCUUCUGGGCUUCGGUUCUCUUUUUCUUUUCUUUGCAGUUUGUGCGCCCUAGUGGGCUACAGAUGCCAUCAAGGCCCAUCUUCUUUUUGGUAAUUCCUUUAUGUUUUUAGCAUGUGAGUAGUUGUUGAUUUUAUUUGACUUAAAUAUGGAUUUGUAUUAUCAUGAUUAUUUAAUAUUUCUUAUAUAAUUUACUAACUAUUUAAUCAAUUGAUAUAUUUUAUCCUCAUUAUUCAUUACUUAGCCUAAUUUAGAUAAUUAUUCACUUUUGAGAUUUAUAUUAAUUAUUAUUUUGUGUUUGCUUACUCAUAUUGUACAAAUUAUUGAUUUCAUUUGCAUGGUAUGCUACAAUUGUGACAAGAUUAUUUCAAGUUCACCGAUUUAAAGUCAUUCAAACCAAUUUCGAAAAUAAAUCACACAUUCCUCGAUUCAAAUUCGAGCCCAUUUUUAAACACCCUUGUAAGUCGAUCGCUUUUAUGCAUCGCCAUCAACCUCACAUAGCUUACUCUUGGGCUUUCUUACAAUGAGUCCUAUUCGGUUAUUAAUUAAUCGAGUAGAUGAUCGAUUCACCAUAAUUUAUUCAACAAACACAAACUCAAACUGAAUUCAAACCAAUUAACUUCAAAAGAAUUUUCUCUUAAAAUAAAUUUUGGGAUGAAAAAGAUAUAAGGAGUGUUCGCUUCACUAUUUCUCAAUUACUCGAAUAAUUGGCGUACGCCAUAUUGCGCGAGUUCUUGUCACCCGAUUAAAACCUUAACCAAAUACCAAUUUCAAACCACUUUUUCAAAUUAAAUGUAACUUCUAAAUUCAAAUAAUUUUAAGACUUCAAAUCAUAAUAUUUCAAAUCAUUUCUACAAAUUCCAAAUCCUUCUAAUUCCAUAUUUCAGAUGAUAAGAGGAUAGGAGGCGUUCGCCUCACUAUCUUUCGAUAAUUCGAAUAAUUGGCGUACGCCAUAUUGCUCAAAUCUUCGUCAUCAAAUCAAAACCGCAAUCAUAUAAACUCAAAUCACAUUUUAUAUCAAAUACAAUUUCAAAAAAUAAACUUUAACUCAAACUUCAAUUAGAGAAUGGGAGGCGUUCGCCUCACCACUCCUUGAUUAUUUGAAUAAUUGGCGUACGCCACAUUGCUCAAAUCAUCUACCUUUCAAAACCUACCAACUCAAAUUCAAACUAUUUUCGCAAAUCAAAGACGACAUCUAAGACAUUUCUUCUAUAAAUUAAACUUCGGAUGAUAGAAGAUGGGAGGCGUUCGCCUCACCAUCUCUCGAUUAUUUGAAUAAUUGGCGUUCGCCAUAUUGCACAAAUCAUCGACUUCCGAUUAAUACAUUUUAAUUAAACUUGGAUAAGGGAAUAGGGGGCGCUCGCCUCAUUAUUCUUUGAACAAGCAAGUAGGAGGCGUACGCCUCGCUACCGUGCAUAUUCAACAUCCACAAACAAACUUUAAAAAUAAUUCGAAUGAAAAGGGAGUAGAAGGCAUUCGCCUUAUUAUUCCUCGAAAGAAUUAGACGAUUGGUGUGCACCACAUUGCUCAAUCUUUCAUCGUUCUUCAAAAACAUCUCAAACAAAUCAAACUAACCUCUCGCCCCCGAGCAAUCGAAACCAAUCACACCCAAACACGUCAAUUCAACUUGUCACCCCCACGUGACCAAAACCCUUCUCUCAAAAAGAACACUGUCAAUCCUUUCUAAUGCAUACAACAAACCAGUGCUAGAGCCUCCACCGAGAGUAGACAAGCCAGCGUUUAGCCUUUAGAACGCCGACCUACACAGUCGUUCAUCAAAACAAAACACACCAAAUAUUCGUAGUAUCCCGAACUACGAAUGCUCUGAUUUCCUUAUUGCACUAUAAGGAUACGUAGGCAGGAGAUUGCUGUAUCUUUGCGAGCACACUAAUAAAAAAAACCUCCCAUUUCCCUUCCUGAGUUCUUCAUCCAUAUCUAUCAUCAAUUCUAAUUACUCGAAGCAAGCGAAUAACAUUCCCUUAACAGUCAAAUAGCAAAAUCAGACUAAAAGGUUCCCGUUGAAUACAACGGACGUAAGGGAUGCUAAUACCUUCCCCUUGCGUAAUCGACUCCCGAACCCGAAUAUGGUUGCGACGACCAUUAUUAUUAUUUCUAAAGGUUUUCUCGAUAUUUUCCUAUUCCUUCAUUGGAAUGAAUAAAGUUCGGUGGCGACUCUGUUCGAACAUAUUUUUCCGUGUUCCAUCGUGAGGGAUCGCAUUAUCAUUUUUUCGAGGUGUGACAGACUGGCGACUCUGCUGGCGACCCUGCUCCAAGCAAGAGAGAGUUUAGCCUAACUUAGUUUGAUUUUGCUAUGACUAUUAGAAGAUGUUCUUUUCAUCCAUCUUUAUUUCUCUGUAUUUUAUUAUGUUGCUUGUAUGUAAUGUGUUCUGAUACUUUGAUAUGGGACUUGAUGUAUGUUGUGAGAUAAGCUCCAUACCCGACCUUCGAGAAAAACUUAGAACUCGGAGUUAUGUAGUAUUGAACCGAGGGGUGUACACCUCAUUGGGACAAUACGAAGACUCCACCUAGAGUAGAUCUGUUUGGAGUUUCCAUCAUAAUAUGGCUAGCCCAUUAUUGUGGGGAGGUUCUAAAUACGAUCCAUGACUCUAGGGACCUCACCUUAAACCCAAGUAUUGUUUUCAUGAUCGGUGAUGAUGUAGUAUUGAACCGAAGGGUCUACACCCUGUUCGAACAAUACGAGAAUCCCACUUAGAUUAGAUCAGUUCAUAACUCCCAUCACGAUGUGCCUAGCCCACCAUUGCGAGGAAGUUUUGAACCUGAUCCGUGAGUCUAAGUUCCUUCCUUGAAAACAUAACUUUAAAGACUACCUUUGGGAAUUCCUAGUAAUCAAAGAAACCUGAGCUUCUUCCUAUUAUCCUAAUGUACCUGACGUGUGAAUAAUCUUAAGUAUUUGUAUUCCUUUGUGAAGAAAUGACAAAAUUUCAUGCAUUUGCAUAUCAUCAACAUGCAUUGCAUAUCAUCUUCCAGAAACAAAAAAAAAACUUACACCAUAUUAUACCAUUCUCCAGUAACGCUGACUACUCGACACCGGUACGAGACACGCCGCAACUACAAGAUGACACUCGAACAGCUGGAAGCAAACCAGGUUUCAAUGAGAACAGACAUUGACUCCAUGCAGGCAAAGAUGGAUCGCUUGCUGGAAACCAUGUUACUCUUAGCCUAGAAGGAGAAAGACGCUGAGACUAACGCCGAAGCCAAAAGAGUUGCUGCUCAGUUUGGAUCACCAUCGCUUAGCAUCCCAGGAGUAAUUGACCUUAAUGGUAAUCUUGUCCAUCCUAAAGAAGGACCCAUUCCUAUUCCUAUUCCCAUGGUCAACAUGAACCCCAUGAGCAUUUUGCUGCAUCUGCUCGACACGGAUCCAUGAUGGGUGAUGAAGAUCCUUAUGACGCUUUCUUCAUGCCACAACCCGCCAAACCUAUUGUUGGAGGUCUCCUAGACCCAGCUGUUGAGAGACUUCAUGCUCUGGAAGAGAAGUUUAAGUCCUUGGAGGUUCACACUACUCCCGGUUUGGACGCUAUUGAUAUGUGCCUGGUACCAGGUCUCGUGAUUCCAUAAAAGUUCAAAGUCCCGGACUUUGACAAGUACAAAGGGAUCAGUUGCCCGAGAACUCACCUCAGAGCUUAUUGCCGCAAGAUGGCUGCCCAUAUCAGUAAUGAUCAACUCUUGAUUCAUUACUUCCAAGAUAGCCUCAGUGGGGCAUCCUUGGAGUGGUACAUGCAAUUAGAGAGAGGACAAGUCCAAUCUUUGAGAGACCUUGCUGAAGCCUUCCUUAAGAAUUAUCAGUACAACAUUGAUCUAGCGCCCAAUCGCACACAGCUGCAAGAUAUGACUCAACGUAACAAUGAGUCAUUCAAGGAAUACGCACAAUGUUGGAGAGAGCUUGCAGCUCGCGUCCAACCUCCUCUCCUUGACAAAGAACUAAUUGAUAUGUUUAUGGGAACUCUACAUACCCAGUACAUGGAGAAAAUGGUAGGAUCCAGCUUUCCAACUUUUACUGAGGUUGUCUCUGUGGGAGAAUGAAUCGAGAGCCAGAUCAAGAAGGGAAAGCUACCUUGUGCUGCCAAUGCUUCAAAUGGGAUAAAGAAACCUUAUCCCAAUCCCCCAAAGAAGCCAGAAGGUCAAACCAACGCCAUAAUGAGAGGAGGAGGAUAUAGGGCACCUCUGUAUACUCCUACACCCUAUCAUCAGGUUGCCGCUCUCAUCCCAACACCAUAUCAGCCACCCUACCAGCAACCAUAUCAACAACAAUGUCAACAGCCAUAUCAACAGUCGACUUACCAACAACAACAUCAGAAUCAGCAAUAACGUGCUCCACAACCACGUCAACCAAAUCAGCAGAGGGCAAGGAGGCCAGAAAGACAUUUUGAUCCUUUGCCAGUACCAUACAGCAAGAUCCUUCCCUGCCUUCUAAAGGAUGGAUCAAUUGUUUUAAAGGAGCUAACGCCUGCAACUCCGCCUUAUCCACCAGGCUACGACGCCAAUGCUCACUGCGAGUAUCAUAUGGGUUCCCCAAGGCAUACAAUAGAGAACUGUAAGGCUUUCAAGCACAAGGUUCAAGAUUUCAUUGAUAGUAAGGCAGUUACUUUCACGCCAAUUAGGCCAAACGUUGCAACAAAUCCCAUGCCGGCGCAUGCAGAGUCGAGUGAAGCUCGAAGAUAAAGCCUCUCACCAGCCUGAACAAGUAAAGCAAUUUCGCCAGUAAAUCAAGAGAUGAAGUCCGUUGCUUUGAAUAAAGGCGAUCAUUAUGCCAUUUUUACCGUUUUGCAUUCUUGUAAUUUGUUCUUGUUAGUCCAAAGUAUUGUAUGCUUUAAACAUUGUUAUUUGUAUUUGGUCUUAUUAAUGGGAUGAUUAUGUAUGCUUUGAAUCAAUCUUUCAUAUUCACUCAUCUAUCACAUUUGCAAAAGCACAAAACACAUACUUUUCCACUUCACCUCCUUUAUUGCACUAUUGUUAGUAAAUGUUGGAAGGAGGAUGACGAAAACAAAAUACUCAUAAUUGUUGAUUGUAUACUUUCGGAUAAAAUCAUGCUGAUGAUGUACAUGCAUUGUUUCAAAUCCCCAAACACCGGAGAGAUAAGGAGUUAAUCCCUAGUCAACCACUUCCAGCCUAGAAGUAGGAGUUUCUUUCAGAUCUACAAACCCUUACGCUUAACCUGGGGCAGGGUAGUGUUCAGUUGAUUUGACUACACUUUCGAAUUACAAGAUGAAAUAUUCCAUACAAGGAUCAAUCACGUGAUAUUCUUCGCACACGUCUUGAAGUACCGAAGAAACCAUACAAAUCCAAAUUUUAUGUCGGUUGUUUUUCAAUGACCAAUGACUUGGCAGUCAUAAUUUUCCAAAAAAAUCAAAAAAAUCCCGCUAAGUCAGACAACCAAAAAGGAGACUUAGGCAAAAAACAGGAGCAAUCCCGAUGGAUUAACGCCUCAACAAGCGGUCCAUGCAAAAGUUAGGGAUCAAAACAAAAAAUCAAGAGAGACAACGAAAGUUCUCAAUAAAGCAAAACAAGAUUCAGUGACCACCAUACCAAAAUCAAAGGGUCACUGACAUCCAAAAGACGAAAUAAGGUGGUUGCCAUUUCAAGAGACCUUGAAUCACCAUCUUUAUCCUUACACCUGCAAAAGACGAAUGUGUGUGAGUUAACUGAAGGUAGGAUUGGAGAUCAUCAUGAAGAAGGGGUGGGUUAAAAUAAUCUUUGAGCCGUAUAUCCUUUUGUUUCAAUAACCAUGAACCAAGCCACGUUACAACCUUCAAAAGACCUAAUUUAAGUAAGGUUUGUUCUGAAAGCAUACUAUAGCAAGGUUGACUAGACUGACUCCUUGAGUUUUACUAAUAUUCGCUUCUCACUAUAUCACUCACACGCUAGCUAAAUCAAGCACCACGAUUGGACACAUGAUCCACUCGUCACACACUACCACGACACUCCCAAGUGAAUGAUUGUUUUUCAAAACUUGCAUAACUAUUGCAUUAAAAUCACCAUUUCUUGGAUAACAAUUCUUAAUUGUCAGUCAGUACUUGACAUCGAGAAAAUUCCAACAAGGGGCAAUUCAAGAGGAAUUUGAUCGUUGGUGCCAACACGAAUCAAAAUCAUCUCAUAGUCUUAUGAAUCAGGGGCAUGGCAUCUUUUGAUCAAGUUGACAUAAGAAGCAGUCAGCAUAAGACAAAUCUCCAAGCAUCGGUUGAUCAGGGAGGAACAAACACUUCAAUCCUCAGGCAGUCUGGGGCAAGUCCCUCAAAAGCUAAUCAAGGGGCAGACCAUUACAAGAGUCAGACAUUGAAGGAAAGGAACUCAGACCAUGUCAUGGGAUAAUCACUCCUAAGGUUCCCGUUCAAGGAGAAUUCCUCUGAACACCCUACAGUCUGGGGCAGGACAAGUUGCAAGGGGCAAGAAUUCCCUUCAUAUCUUCAAGUCAAUCAAGCAAAUUGCAUCAGACACUAGUGACUGCUUGAAUUCACAACAAAAAUGUCAAAAGUCCAUACCAGUACAACAAGAAUCCUUAGGGCACGUCAAAAGCAUAACCAUCAUGCGUUGAUUACGUCGCUAUGCUCAGUUACAGGGUUGCCAAACACUUCAGAAGAAGAAUCGAGAUCGUCUUAAAGACAAAUAAACAUCAUAUUAGCGAGAGAUCAAACUUGGGGCACCAAGAGUAUCCGCAUCUAUUGCGUGUUCAUCACAUCAUCAACUACCGAGUGUCGGGAAGUCAGAUCCUUUCCACCAACCGAUGGUCCAACCCACAUUGACAAUUACCAGAAAAACCAAAGCCCACCUCGAUGGCAUCCAAACAAAAACGAAUACAACCAACACUGGUUUCCAGAAAACACAUUGCCUUUGAAAAAGGGGGGCCAAUCCCAAACAAACCAAUCAUUCUUUGCAUUCAAACAUGCAUCAUAUGCAUCACCUCAUUACAUAACGCAUACAUGACAUUUAUGCAUAUAGCACGAGUCAAAAUCCAAGGUUCAGUACUGGGCAUCCAGGCCAACCCUCAGUCGAGUCAUUGUCACUUUUCCUAAGUGAGUUCCUACCCUACUAUUGGGCGUUCCCCAUUGAGUUAUAUCCUUCAACCUUUUGUUUAUAAGAUGUUUUCCUCAUCAAAGUCAAACAUUGUCUCUUUAAAACACUUACCUUGUUUCGCGUUGAGCGUCCCUCAAUGAGUCGUUUCCUGUAACCUUUUGUUAAUGAAAAUUACAUCUGAAAGAGAAUAUUUUUAUGCAACCUUUUGUUGUUGAUACCCCCAAGAAAGUUUUACCCAAUAGUGUUCCAAUACUACCCAACAAAUCAGGUUAAUUGAACUUUGAUAGUAGCCUUAUGUUUCCAAUAUUUUUCUCACUACCACCCUUUUGGUGAAUGUCCCCUGAUAAAUAAUGAUCAUCAUCCUAUUUAUGGUGUCUGUUAUCCUUUUGGUAAUGGUAAAUCAUUAACAUUUGUGAUCUUACUAUCAUCCUUUUGGUGUCGAAGAUCCUUGAAGUUUUUAAGCUAACCUUCAUCCUUUUGGCGAAGGUGUUGGUGUAAGCCCUAGAGGCCAAUACUUUUGGUACUUGUAUCGAAUUAUUUAUUAAUAAUAAAAGGUUUUUUCUUUAUUACGGUUGUUUAAUAAAGUCUCUAGAAUAGUUAGUCUGUUUAAUGCAUCAAGUGUGACUUGAUCAUGAGACCACAUUAAACAUAAGGACACUACUCUCAAAGUAUCUGUAGUCGAGCUUUAUUGUGAAGUGGGAUAACAUCAAAGCAUUGAGACUAUUAUGUUUGUAGACUGAUGAUCACAUCUCAUGGUUCAUGGAUAAAGGGUUAUUAGGUCUUAAACAUAGGUAUGAAUAUUAAGAGUAAUAUUUAUACCGGAUUGACCCGCUAUGAGAAUACUAUAUAGAAAGUUAUGCAAAGUGUCAUAAGUUAUUCUCAUGGUGAUAAUGGUGUAUUACCACUCUUCGAACCUCCUGAAAACCACUAUGGACCCUAGAUGUAGAGUCGAGUGCUUUUGUUGAUCCAACGUUUCCGUAACUGGAUAACCAUAAAGACAGUUGAUGAGUACUCCACAAAGCAUGCUGAGGGACAUGAGUGACCUAGAUGGAAUUUGCCCAUCCUGCGUAACAGGAUAAAUGUCUAUGGGCCCAAUAUUGAAUUGGACAAGGAUGACACGGUCUAUACCUUGUGUUCAAUAUAGACAUAAGGGCAAAGGGGUAAUUAUACACAUAAUAAUUAUCACAAGAGGUUUUGUCAGAUCACAUGACAUUUUUGUGUCUUGGGUAGCAGUGAUGUGUUGCUAGAUACUGCUUACUGUUUAUUAUGUUAAAUGCGUGAUUUAAUCUAAUUGUCAAUGCCGCGAAAACCUAUAGGUCACACACAAAGGACGGAUUGAUGAGAAAUAGAGUAACUAAGGAACACCGUAAGGUACGGUGCACUUAAGUGGAAGACGAUAAAUAUGCGUAAGGUACCAAAUACUUAAGUGAUUUUGGCAUAUUAUGAGAUAUGGGCCAAAAUACACUUAAGUGGGCUUUUUAGCUUGAAGCCCACACAAGUGGUUCUAUAAAUAGAACCCUUGGGUAGAAGCUUUGCCUCUCAGACUAACACUCAAGUGAAGACUUGGAGUUUCGUUUCCCUCUCUCUCUCUCUCACUCAAAGCCUUCAUUCCUACCAGCUAGCACUGAGAUUGAAGGAAUCCGUUCGUGUGGACUGAGUAGAGACGUUGUCAUUGUUCAACGUUCGUGAUCACCACAAGAGGUAACGAUUCUAUCACUGAUCAUGCCCAUUCGUAAGGAUCACUAAAUGGAGAAAUUUUUAAAUUUCGUUGCGCCUUGGAUGGCAAUUUUCCUACAGAAGGGAGACCUCUACAAUUAUUACAGCUUACCGUCAUCCUUUUGGUGUCGGCGAUCCUUAUGAUGAUAAGGAUCCUUGUCAUUUUGGUUCAAUUAUCAUCCUUUUGGUGAUGACGUCCAAUUCAAUCUAAACAUCAUCCUUUUGGUGAUAUAGAUUACGGAGUUUGGUUUAAGCUAUCAUCCUUUUGGUGAUGGUGACUUUUGGAAAGUCCAAUCUCACUGUCAUCCUUUUGGUGUCAGCAACAUUUAAAGUUAUUAUAACUUAUUAUCAUCCUUUUGGUGGUAACAAGUCUCGAAGUUAGGAUCUCACCCUCAUCCUUUUGUUGAUGGUGAUUGUUGAUUCCUUAUCAUCCUUUUGGUGAUAACGAGUCCUGUUGUGUUAUAGUGCCUUCAUCCUUUUGGUGAUGGUGACUGUCGACUUAUUAUCAUCCUUUUGGUGAUAACAAUUUUUGUUGUUCGAUCUUACCUUCUUCCUUUUGGUGACGGUGAUCAGUAAAAGUUAUUAACUUAUUAUCAUCUUUUUGGUGGUAACAAGUUUUGUUGUUUAAUCCUACCUUCAUCCUUUUGGUGACGGUGACCAUUUGAGUUACGGACUCAUGAUCAUCCUUUUGGUGAUAACGGGUUUUGUUUUGAUCUUGCCCUCAUCCUUUUGGUGAUGGCGAUCAUUGAGUUUGUUUCGGCUAUUAUUAUCCUUUUGGUGAUAACAAGUUUUGAAGUUUUGGCCUUAUUAUCAUCCUUUUGGUGAUAACAAGUUCUGUUUGUUUGAUCUUACUGUCAUCCUUUUGGUGUCAGUGAUAUUUAAGGUUAUUGACUUAUUAUCAUCCUUUUGGUGGUAACAAGUUAUGUUGUUGAUCUUACCUUCAUCCUUUUGGUGAUGGUGAUCGUUUGAGUCUAUUUUGACUUAUUAUCGUCCUUUUGGCGAUAACAAGUUUUGUCUUUUAAUUAUACCUUCAUCCUUUUAUUGGUGAUGGUGAUUGUUUUGACUUAUUAUCAUCCUUUUGGUGGUAACAAGUUUUAUCUUGUAUCUUACCUUCAUCCUUUUGGUGAUGGUGAUCAUUGAGUUUCGACUUAUUAUCAUCCUUUUGGUGGUAACAAGUUUGUUGUGUGACUAUACCUUCAUCCUUUUGGUGGUAACAAGUUUGUUGUGUGACUAUACCUUCAUCCUUUUGGUGAUAGUGAUCAUUGAAGUUAUUUGACUUAUUAUCAUCCUUUUGGUGAUAACAAGUAUUGUUGCUGGAUCUUACCUUCAUCCUUUUGGUGACAGUGAUCUUUGAAGUUGAUGAGUUAACUAUCAUCCUUUUGGUUGUAGCUUUGAUAUUAUACUCUUGGUAAUGGGAAACUUUUCCAGAAUAACCAUCAUCCUUUUGGUGACGGACGUCAUCCAUUAGGUGAUGGAAAUCUUUGAAUUGUGUCUAACUUUCAUCCUUUUGGUGAUAGCGAGAUUUGUUGCUGAUCGUACCAUCAUCCCUUUGGUGAUGGCGAUCUUUGUUGUACCCACUAUAACCAUUAUCCUUUUGGUGAUGACUACUUUUGAAACUCGGUUUGUCGAUUAUCCUUUUGGUAAUGACGAUCUUGGAAAUCAUGGCGAAUUUUUAUCAUCCUUUUGAUGGUAGCAAUUAACUCAACUGUCAUCCUUUUGGCGCAAGAAAGCCUGUUCAGUUUUAGUCCCACAUUUGUCUUUACAUCAAAAAUGACCUUUGCAAGACCUGAAUGUCGACUCGAGGGUUGGCAUUGAUUUGGCAUUCUACCCUUAUCACCUUGGUGCUGUUAGAUUCCAUUGCAUUUUCUUUCUACAUAUCUUCAUUGCAUUCCAAAAGAAAAAAUUUGGGUCUUUUCGUAUUUAAUUACCUUCCACCACGAACGUAUGAAGACUGUCGUCAUUCUUAUUUUCUAGUUCAAGAUGAUUAAAUAGAGGCAACUGUCACACCCCAAUUUUGUCCGGGCAUGUUAAAAAGAUUUUAGCAUUUCACAACCAGAAAGCAUGAUGCAUAAAUUCCCGUAAAUGGAUCCCCGCUCAAUCAAAUGUCCAUAAACCCUAGUCAUGUUCAUUGCCUUCUUAAAUGCCCAUGAAUUCCUUCCUUCAUGACAUUGUGACUUAGUGUUGUAACUUGGGAAAAUGUCACUCAACCUAUUGUACAAGAGUCCUUGUUUGUGGAUUUUCUUGUUAUUAAUUUUAUAAACCUCAUGCUACCACAUGCACACCAUAUGAUUAGGUCCCUUCGAUUGGUUCCGAGUAGAUGUUGAACUAGUCCAUUUGUUUUAAAAGAAGGGGGACACAUGAUCCAUGUUUUGCAUGUUUUCAUUUGAUUUAGGGUAUUCAAGAUUAUUCGAAUCCAUUUCUUGCCAUUGUUAUUGCCAUUGUUAUUACCAUAAGUACUUGGUCCAUAAAAUGUCCAUUUAGAUUAUGGUGGUGUUACCCAAAUCAAGAGAUACCUCCACUCACAAAUAAAUCACAAGAGACUAAGGUCCAUCAAUGCAUUUGAAACCAAGGCUUUUCAUUCAUAAGAAAUUCCACGCAUUGUUCAUUUCGCUCAAGACACAAAUGCUAUGUACAAAUGUCCACUCGCAUGAAAGAUUAAGAAAAGGUUGAAUCACAAAAAGCCCAAAUCCAUAUAAAUCCAAGAACCCCAUAUCCUGCUGUUAUUCUUCCAUAAAACCCUUGGCUUAUUAUGGUUUGUGAUUGAAACUGCAAGUACAACAUAUUGGCAAAACAUGUUCACACAUUAAAAUUACAUUUUUCAUUUUUCAAACUAACAUUACAGCAUACAAAUGUUUAAGCACAUUUUCAAAUCGUUAUGCAAGUACAUGUUUAAGCACGGCCAAAUGGGUUGAUAACACAACCUAAGUCGCUACAUGUUACAAACAAAAGAAGCAGGAUAAGAAAAGUCUGAACAUAGUCAGUGGUCGUCAAUGCGAGAGAUAUGCAGUGUCGUAAACAAACCCUCAACCUCUGAUAACCGAUAAACAGUGCAGGAGGAGCUUACUAUAGAACCAUUUUUGUUUACACCAGAACCAUAUGCAGAAGAGCAGGCACACCACAAAUGAGCCGAGGAACACGCAUGGCAUAAGACCUCUGAUAACCGAUAAACAGUGCAGGAGGAGCUUACUAUAGAACCAUUUUUGUUUACACCAGAACCAUAUGCAGAAGAGCAGGCACACCACAAAUGAGCCGAGGAACACGCAUGGCAUAAGUCUCAUAAUACCUGAAUAAUUCCACAUCAGUUUCUCAGGCCAUUCCUUGCAUUAGUUUCCACAAGACAGUAUAAGCUUCUCUCCCGUAUCAUGCGGUGACCUAUAGAUCCAAGAGCUAGCAGUACCACACCGAUAAUGCGAAUGUGAAUACAGGUGCGCAAGGAUAAAAGUGCAAAGAAGCAUAGGGAAAGCUACAAGUUUUAAAAGGAC